This 1480-nucleotide ribosomal RNA is filed under the name Paraphaeosphaeria neglecta. RNAcentral's name for it is "eukaryotic LSU rRNA". The stretch from base 556 to 1480 matches the Rfam family "Eukaryotic large subunit ribosomal RNA", at positions 1 to 943 of the family's 3401-position model. Lineage: Eukaryota; Fungi; Ascomycota; Dothideomycetes; Pleosporales; Didymosphaeriaceae. The record is from RNAcentral.
CGUAACAAGGUUUCCGUAGGUGAACCUGCGGAAGGAUCAUUAUCCAUCUCAAACCAGGUGCGGUCGCGGCCCCCGGGGGCUUGCUCCCGGGUGGUAGGGGUAACACCCUCACGCGCCGCCUGCCUGUACCCUCUUUUUACGAGCACCUUUCGUUCUCCUUCGGCGGGGCAACCUGCCGCUGGAACCAAAACAAAACCUUUUUUGCAUCUAGCAUUACCUGUUCUGAUACAAAUAAUCGUUACAACUUUCAACAAUGGAUCUCUUGGCUCUGGCAUCGAUGAAGAACGCAGCGAAAUGCGAUAAGUAGUGUGAAUUGCAGAAUUCAGUGAAUCAUCGAAUCUUUGAACGCACAUUGCGCCCCUUGGUAUUCCAUGGGGCAUGCCUGUUCGAGCGUCAUCUACACCCUCAAGCUCUGCUUGGUGUUGGGCGUCUGUCCCGCCUCUGCGCGCGGACUCGCCCCAAAUUCAUUGGCAGCGGUCUUUGCCUCCUCUCGCGCAGCACAAUUGCGUCUGCGGGGGGGCGUGGCCCGCGUCCACGAAGCAACAUUACCGUCUUUGACCUCGGAUCAGGUAGGGAUACCCGCUGAACUUAAGCAUAUCAAUAAGCGGAGGAAAAGAAACCAACAGGGAUUGCCCUAGUAACGGCGAGUGAAGCGGCAACAGCUCAAAUUUGAAAUCUGGCUCUCUUUGGGGGUCCGAGUUGUAAUUUGCAGAGGAUGCUUUGGCAUUGGCGGCGGUCUAAGUUCCUUGGAACAGGACAUCACAGAGGGUGAGAAUCCCGUACGUGGUCGCCUGCCCUUGCCGUGUAAAGCUCCUUCGACGAGUCGAGUUGUUUGGGAAUGCAGCUCUAAAUGGGAGGUAAAUUUCUUCUAAAGCUAAAUACUGGCCAGAGACCGAUAGCGCACAAGUAGAGUGAUCGAAAGAUGAAAAGUACUUUGGAAAGAGAGUCAAAAAGCACGUGAAAUUGUUGAAAGGGAAGCGCUUGCAGCCAGACUUGCCCGCAGUUGCUCACCUAGGCUUUCGCCUGGGGCACUCUUCUGCGGGCAGGCCAGCAUCAGUUUGGGCGGUUGGAUAAAGGCCUCUGUCACGUAUCUCCCUUCGGGGUGACCUUAUAGGGGAGGCGCAAUGCAACCAGCCCGGACUGAGGUCCGCGCAUCUGCUAGGAUGCUGGCGUAAUGGCUGUAAGCGGCCCGUCUUGAAACACGGACCAAGGAGUCUAACAUCUAUGCGAGUGUUUGGGUGUCAAGCCCGAGCGCGCAAUGAAAGUGAACGGAGGUGGGAACCCUUUGGGUGCACCAUCGACCGAUCCUGAUGUCUUCGGAUGGAUUUGAGUAAGAGCAUAGCUGUUGGGACCCGAAAGAUGGUGAACUAUGCUUGAAUAGGGUGAAGCCAGAGGAAACUCUGGUGGAGGCUCGCAGCGGUUCUGACGUGCAAAUCGAUCGUCAAAUUUGGGCAUAGGGGCGAAAGACUAAUCGAACCAU